This is a long non-coding RNA of Monodelphis domestica (gray short-tailed opossum), 3965 nucleotides long. RefSeq lists it as uncharacterized. NCBI's taxonomy places the organism in Eukaryota, Metazoa, Chordata, Mammalia, Didelphimorphia, Didelphidae. The record is from RefSeq and is a predicted model, not a curated record.
AAGUCUAGGGCAGAGCCUGAAGAGAAAAGGUCUCACUUUUCGGGGCUGCCCUCGCUGCGCACAUGCGCAGUGGGACGCGAUCUGACCACGUUGGGCAAAGUCUGCGGACUGGUGGGAGUGAAUGAUAAUUUUACAGGUGGUGAAUACGCCAAGUUCGUGACUUACGCCUAAAAAACUCUAGAUAUAAACAUUUGCUAAAUGAAUGAAUGGCAGUGUUUUCUGGAGCAAACAUAUCCUCUUAAUGAGAGCAAACACUUGGCAUGAAGGAACGCUGCUCCCUGGACAAGCAAGGCUGGCCGUAAAAUGACCCCUCGACUCCACCCACCCUGUAUAGACUUAGGCUGAUUACGGAAGCGACCAUGUCUUAUUUUACCUGGUGCCAGGCAAGCAGAAUGUCUUAUAUUUUACCACCCCAGUUCUGGAGUGUGGGUGAAGUGAUUCAAACCUCAAGACAUUUCUUAGGAGCCAAAAGCCUGGACAAGAUUUUCCUGCAGCCUAGAAUGUGAAGGAUUCCUGAAGAAGACACCUCUACGAGAAAUCCCAGCAAUGAAGCUGUCUGAUACAAAAGGAGUCUACAGAAGUCUGCAAGAGAGGAGGCUGAAGGCAUCAUCAGGAUCCACCAGAUGUGAAAGACUUUGGAGAAAUGGGGUAGUGUUUUGAUUGUUACUUAGUUUUUGGCCAAAGGCAGACUGCCUGCCUUUCUGGCUCAAUUGUCAAUGCGCAGGUGGCAUUGGGGAAUGCCCCCAAAGGCCAAUCACCAAAACUGUAUCCCUGAACUUUCCACCAUUAGGGGAUGGAGUCCAAUCCCAUAUAGCAUUACUCAUUUGUCCGUAUGUUUGGUCAGUCUUAACCAAAAGGGGUGUGUGUCAACAUGUAAAUAUAGAGAUCCCCAGUUUAUUUAGUUUGAGUGUAGAAACCCCAGCUUUUGACCUUGUCACAGGAGGUUUCCCCCUGAGGGAAGGUCCCUCUUCACCAGACUGUGAACUUCCUGGUAGUUUGGGUGGGAACAGCUAAUCCCACCCAAUAUUAAGCAUCCCUUUUGUCCCAAUGGUUUCUCCCCCUAGGCUACAAGGUCCAUUACCAAGGUGGCCCAGCCCUGGGCUUGGUCUUUCCCUUUUGUGUCCAUUGUAGGGCAUCAGCCCCUCACUGUUAUUCCUCUCUGGAACUCCUCAUUUUCCUUUCUUACCAUUGUAAAGUCAAUCAACUGUCCCUCUCACUCCAAGCCCCCAAGUCAACUAGAGUGGUAUAUAGGUUCCCCAAGUUCUUUUGUUCCUCUGAGUCCAUCCCGAGUCCUUGGCACUCCCAGGGGCUAGUGACCAGGGCGUCUUGACUCUGCAGUCUUGGGAAGCAGCUCUGUUGUUGUAUUAGUAGCACUCUAACCCCUUUUUCCCUUGAUUAAAGAGUGAUUUUGACUAUUUAAUAGUUCUGUGUUUUUUCUAGUUGACAGGACAAAAGGGAUUAGCUGCUCCCACCCAAACUACCAGGAUGUCCAGUGAGGUGGGACCUUCCCUCAGGGGGAAACCUCCUGUGACAAGGUCACAACCUGGGGUGUAUACCCUUAAACUAAGUAAACUGGGGAUUUCUAGAUUUCCAUGUUGACAAAGCUUAAAAAGACUGUGAUCCCCAGUUUAUUUAGUUUGGAGGUAGAAACCCCAUGUUUGACCUUGUCAAGUGAUAGUUCCUCCCUGAGGUCAAGUCCUACUUCACAAAUCUCAGACUAACAAUGGACUUUUAAGAUGUUAAGUAUCUCUUUUGUCCAAAUGGUUUCUCCACCUUAGGCUAAAGUCCUUUACCUAGGGGCCCAGCCCUGGGCAGGAUCUUUCCCUUUUGUGUCCGUUGUGGGGUCUCAGCCCCUCAUUGUUAUUCCUGUCUGGAACUUCUCAUUUUCCUUUUUUACCAUCAAUCAACUGUCCCUUUCAUCCUUGGCCCCAUGUUUCACCUAGAAAGGUAUUUAACCUCCCCAACUUUAAUAGCUCCUCAGAGUCCUCCUCUAUCAUGGUGCCACUCGCAGGGGUCAGUGUCCAUAGAGUUCAAUCCUCCACUAUGUGCAGUUGUUUGUGUGUGUGUGUGGCGUGUAGCUGUGUGUCUACUCUAGCUCUGAGGCCUACUGUUGCAUUGAACCCUUUUCCUCUUAAUUAAAGAAUGAUUUUGAUGAAUAGUUUUUAGACCACAUCAAGUGACUGGCACAGUAGGUAGCACAUCAUUCUCACAAGCUUAAAGUCCCACCUUCCUCUGAAGGAGGGUGUGACAUGCUGGAAGAGGCUUCUGGACUUUGGUUUGGGCUUACUCCCUGUCUGAAGUGGAUUGUUAAGUCGGAUUUCCUUUGGGGUGGAUUCUCCCAGGAACAGAAAAGGUAAUUAUCUCUAUGAAUAUGAUCUGUAUCUAGCUUCAGUUCUUCUGGAGUGCCAGUCCUCUAUCACCAAGUAUCUACUAUAUAUUUUCAUCUAAAUGUCUCACUGACAUCUCAAGUUUCUUAUGUCAAAAACUGAACUCUUAUUCUCUCCCCAAUCUACUCCUUUUCCAAACUUCUCUGUAUGUGUCAAGGGUAUCAUCAUUCUUCAAAUCACCUAGUGUCUUAAGCACUGUCCUUUAAGAAAUAUAAACUCUUACCUUAUGCCUUGGAAUUGGAUACUAAAUAUUGGUUGUGAGGCAGAAGAGCAGUAAGGACUAGGCAAUAGGGAUAAGUAACUUAUCAUCUCUCACUUAGUAGCAGUUUCUUAAUUAUGUCCCCAGCCUCAAUAUUAUAUGGGGAUGCUUCAUUAUUCCAAUUCAUCCACUUGUUGACUCAUGAGGGCAGAGAUUCAUGCCCCUCUUAAGCUGUUUAAUCAUCCUACCCAGGGUAAAAUCAUAGAUCACAGAUUUGGAGGUCAUCUGGCCCCUUAUUUUACAGAUAAGGAAACAGACCCAAAGAGGUUAAGUGAUUUGUCAAUGGGUCAAUUUGGGUUUGAAGCUAAACCUAGAUCAUUCUAAGUCCAGAGCUCUACUAUAUCAUGCUGCUUCACCACUAUAAAUGCAUGAUUGCAUACAUAUAUACUUUCAACAGUAUCAAAAAAUCCAUGAGGUUACACCUAAACAAGGAUCCCUUCUACAGUAGUUAACAAUUGCUAACAUUUAUAUAGCGCUAUGCACCCAGCACUAUGCUAAGAACUUUGUGAUUAUCACAUUUCAAAUUUUUGCAUACCAGGUAUAUUAGCAUCUUGAAAGUAUGAUUGGUGUACUGAUAUUGUACCUUAUGUCUUCUUAUACCAGAUUCAUGGUCAUGUUACUUAUUGAUUAUUGUAUUUCCAAAUCUUCAGUCCAAAGGACAUAAGAAUUCCUGAGUGAGACAAUAUUUGCCACAGGGUCCUAGCUCCCACCUGGUUAGACUACAUUCCUUUUCAAGUCACAUGUUUGAUUAACCUCCUUUGAUUGUGAUUGUCAAUUGAGGCAAUGUUAAAACCUAUGCCAUGUCACAUGUUCAUUAGCUACCUCCCACUCCAUAUUCCUAAAUUCUCCAAUAAAAGUAUGAGGACAUGUGUACAGCCCUCUCUCAAUUCUAUCUGAGGGGCAAGCACAAUGGAGCCCAUAUUUUUUAACUCCUUGUCUCUAUUCUUUAUUUAUGUCUUUAUUCCUUUAUGUGUGUGUGUCUCUCUCUCUCAAACUCUUUCUCUAUCCAUUUUCCCUCAGUUACCAAUCUCCUCAGGAGUCCACCCACAAAAAUAUUAAUAUGUAACUGCAGGAGGUUACACAAAUAUUAUCUCAACAAAGUUCCUUUACUUUGGAUUCCGUCUAAGUGGUUACAACUCAGUCAUUAAGUUUUUGGUUCCACUUAAAGGUCAGCAAUCUUACAGGGUUUCAAGAUCGAUCAUCAAAGAGAACACAGAAAAUGUAAUGGCAUUUUUUUAAAGUUGCCAUAGAAUACUUAUUUUACGUUCACUGCUUAUUGUGCAAGUUAUCAUGAAUAAAACACUGGAUAAGUAAGAAUA